UGAUCCAAAAUCUCGUAGAGUGGAUGACCUUUCCAUUUUGACUUGUUAGCCGAUAGUAGGAUUAUUUGGACCUGCUCCUGGGUGAGCUAGUCACUGUGGAGUGCGGAGCCUCUGGCAUGGACAAUCAUCUUGAGAUGGAAGAUGUCCUGUCCAGACUUAGCAAUUGAAGGGGCGAACAUGGUUGGCACGAAAGUGGUCGAUGCAAAUGCCAACAUUGAAAUUAGAGCUGGUGAUGGAGAUGGCAGCUACAUAGAAUGGUAGGGG
RNAcentral lists this long non-coding RNA (264 nucleotides) under Elaeis guineensis (African oil palm). RNAcentral's name for it is "long non-coding RNA (EGUI_LNC066372)". Lineage: Eukaryota; Viridiplantae; Streptophyta; Magnoliopsida; Arecales; Arecaceae. The record is from RNAcentral.